Molecule: ribosomal RNA, 325 nt
Filed under: Halomonas sp. N48
Lineage: Bacteria; Pseudomonadati; Pseudomonadota; Gammaproteobacteria; Oceanospirillales; Halomonadaceae
Description: bacterial SSU rRNA
Rfam family: Bacterial small subunit ribosomal RNA
Source: RNAcentral
UUAACUGGAGGGAGGUGGGGAGGACGUCAAGUCAUCAUGGCCCUUACGGGUAGGGCUACACACGUGCUACAAUGGCCGGUACAAUGGGUUGCGAAUCCGCGAGGUGGAGCUAAUCCCAUAAAGCCGGUCUCAGUCCGGAUCGGAGUCUGCAACUCGACUCCGUGAAGUCGGAAUCGCUAGUAAUCGUGAAUCAGAAUGUCACGGUGAAUACGUUCCCGGGCCUUGUACACCCCGCCCGUCACCCCAUGGGAGUGGACUGCCCCAGAAGUGGUUAGCCUAACUUCGGAGGGCGAUCACCACGGUGUGGUUCAUGACUGGGGUGAAU